Molecule: ribosomal RNA, 846 nt
Filed under: Saccharomyces sp. WW-W135
Lineage: Eukaryota; Fungi; Ascomycota; Saccharomycetes; Saccharomycetales; Saccharomycetaceae
Description: SSU rRNA
Rfam family: Eukaryotic small subunit ribosomal RNA
Source: RNAcentral
GCGCCCCAUAUGGUUGUCUCAAAGAUUAAGCCAUGCAUGUCUAAGUAUAAGCAAUUUAUACAGUGAAACUGCGAAUGGCUCAUUAAAUCAGUUAUCGUUUAUUUGAUAGUUCCUUUACUACAUGGUAUAACUGUGGUAAUUCUAGAGCUAAUACAUGCUUAAAAUCUCGACCCUUUGGAAGAGAUGUAUUUAUUAGAUAAAAAAUCAAUGUCUUCGGACUCUUUGAUGAUUCAUAAUAACUUUUCGAAUCGCAUGGCCUUGUGCUGGCGAUGGUUCAUUCAAAUUUCUGCCCUAUCAACUUUCGAUGGUAGGAUAGUGGCCUACCAUGGUUUCAACGGGUAACGGGGAAUAAGGGUUCGAUUCCGGAGAGGGAGCCUGAGAAACGGCUACCACAUCCAAGGAAGGCAGCAGGCGCGCAAAUUACCCAAUCCUAAUUCAGGGAGGUAGUGACAAUAAAUAACGAUACAGGGCCCAUUCGGGUCUUGUAAUUGGAAUGAGUACAAUGUAAAUACCUUAACGAGGAACAAUUGGAGGGCAAGUCUGGUGCCAGCAGCCGCGGUAAUUCCAGCUCCAAUAGCGUAUAUUAAAGUUGUUGCAGUUAAAAAGCUCGUAGUUGAACUUUGGGCCCGGUUGGCCGGUCCGAUUUUUUCGUGUACUGGAUUUCCAACGGGGCCUUUCCUUCUGGCUAACCUUGAGUCCUUGUGGCUCUUGGCGAACCAGGACUUUUACUUUGAAAAAAUUAGAGUGUUCAAAGCAGGCGUAUUGCUCGAAUAUAUUAGCCAUGCAAUAAUAGAAUAGGACGUUUGGGUUUCUAUUUUUUGUUGGAUUUCUUAAGGAACAACUCGU